AGAUCUGAGGGUGAUCUGUCUGCAACAUCUGUCACCCCACGAUUGCCACUGAUUCGGCUGUGGCUGGCUAGUGUCCCCUUCUUCCCUCACCACUCCAUGUGCAUCCCCCCCAAAGCUGCGCACUCAGUCAAAGAGGACGACCUUCCUCCCUAGGGGAGAGUGAGUCUUCCGUCAUGGGUAUAUGAGUAGCUGUACUCCCCUUCUAGAACCUCCGCACAAGCUCCCACGGCAUUUGCAUCCCACACUGGAGUUUCUGGGUUUGAUUCCUGGCUCUGGCUCCUGAUUCUGGCUUUCUGCUAAU
This 301-nucleotide small nuclear RNA is filed under the name Oryctolagus cuniculus (rabbit). RNAcentral's name for it is "7SK RNA". It matches the Rfam family "7SK RNA". Rfam says of the family: 7SK was discovered as an abundant small nuclear RNA in the mid-70s but a possible function has only recently been suggested. Two independent studies have found that 7SK RNA binds the CDK9/cyclin T complex (known as elongation factor P-TEFb). The record is from Rfam by way of RNAcentral. Lineage: Eukaryota; Metazoa; Chordata; Mammalia; Lagomorpha; Leporidae.